CCGUGCCGUAUGCAGGGGGACAACAGUCAGAAAUGACUGCUAAUACCGCAUAAGCACACAAUGCUGCGUGGCAUGGUGUGAAAAGAUUUAUCGGCAUACGAUGGCCCCGCGUCUGAUUAGCCAGUUGGCAGGGUAAUGGCCUACCAAAGCAACGAUCAGUAGCCGGCUUGAGAGAGUGACCGGCCACAUUGGGACUGAGACACGGCCCAGACUCCUACGGGAGGCAGCAG
RNAcentral lists this ribosomal RNA (230 nucleotides) under uncultured bacterium. RNAcentral's name for it is "partial 16S ribosomal RNA". It matches the Rfam family "Bacterial small subunit ribosomal RNA", at positions 125 to 354 of the family's 1533-position model. The record is from RNAcentral.